GCAUAUCAAUAAGCGGAGGAAAAGAAACCAACAGGGAUUGCCCUAGUAACGGCGAGUGAAGCGGCAACAGCUCAAAUUUGAAAUCUGGCUUCGGCCCGAGUUGUAAUUUGCAGAGGAAGCUUUAGGCGCGGCACCAACUGAGUCCCCUGGAACGGGGCGCCACAGAGGGUGAGAGCCCCGUAUAGUUGGACGCCUAGCCUGUGUAAAGCUCCUUCGACGAGUCGAGUAGUUUGGGAAUGCUGCUCAAAAUGGGAGGUAAAUUUCUUCUAAAGCUAAAUACCGGCCAGAGACCGAUAGCGCACAAGUAGAGUGAUCGAAAGAUGAAAAGCACUUUGAAAAGAGGGUUAAAUAGCACGUGAAAUUGUUGAAAGGGAAGCGCUUGUGACCAGACUUGCGCCCGGCUGAUCAUCCGGUGUUCUCACCGGUGCACUCUGCCGGGCUCAGGCCAGCAUCGGUUCUCGCGGGGGGAUAAAGGUCCUGGGAACGUAGCUCCUCCGGGAGUGUUAUAGCCCAGGGCGUCAUGCCCUCGCGGGGACCGAGGUUCGCGCAUCUGCAAGGAUGCUGGCGUAAUGGUCAUCAGCGACCCGUCUUGAAACACGGACCAAGGAGUCAAGGUUUUGCGCGAGUGUUUGGGUGUAAAACCCGCACGCGUAAUGAAAGUGAACGUAGGUGAGAGCUUCGGCGCAUCAUCGACCGAUCCUGAUGUUUUCGGAUGGAUUUGAGUAGGAGCGUUAAGCCUUGGACCCGAAAGAUGGUGAACUAUGCUUGGAUAGGGUGAAGCCAGAGGAAACUCUGGUGGAGGCUCGCAGCGGUUCUGACGUGCAAAUCGAUCGUCAAAUCUGAGCAUGGGGGGCGAAAGACUAAUCGAACCAUCUAGUAGCUGGUUACCGCCGAU
Molecule: ribosomal RNA, 895 nt
Filed under: Chaetomium amesii
Lineage: Eukaryota; Fungi; Ascomycota; Sordariomycetes; Sordariales; Chaetomiaceae
Description: LSU rRNA
Rfam family: Eukaryotic large subunit ribosomal RNA
Source: RNAcentral